UACGUAGGGGCCAAGCGUUGUCCGGAUUUAUUGGGCGUAAAGAGCUCGUAGGCGGUUGGGUAAGUCGGGUGUGAAAACUCCAGGCUCAACUUGGAGACGCCACCCGAUACUGCUCUGACUUGAGCUCGGUAGGGGAGUGGGGAAUUCCUGGUGUAGCGGUGAAAUGCGCAGAUAUCAGGAGGAACACCGGUGGCGAAGGCGGAUCUCUGGGCCAUUACUGACGCUGAGGAGCGAAAGCGUGGGGAGCGAACAGG
This 254-nucleotide ribosomal RNA is filed under the name uncultured bacterium. Its description in RNAcentral is "partial 16S ribosomal RNA". It matches the Rfam family "Bacterial small subunit ribosomal RNA", at positions 524 to 776 of the family's 1533-position model. The record is from RNAcentral.